GAUGAACGCUGGCGGCGUGCCUAAUACAUGCAAGUCGAGCGAACAGACGAGGAGCUUGCUCCUCUGACGUUAGCGGCGGACGGGUGAGUAACACGUGGAUAACCUACCUCUAAGACUGGGAUAACUUCGUGAAACCGGAGCUAAUACCGGAUAAUAUAUUGAACCGCAUGGUUCAAUAGUGAAAGACGGCUUUGCUGUCACUUAUAGAUGGAUCCGCGCCGCAUUAGCUAGUUGGUAAGGUAACGGCUUACCAAGGCAACGAUGCGUAGCCGACCUGAGAGGGUGAUCGGCCACACUGGAACUGAGACACGGUCCAGACUCCUACGGGAGGCAGCAGUAGGGAAUCUUCCGCAAUGGGCGAAAGCUUGACGGAGCAACGCCGCGUGAGUGAUGAAGGUCUUCGGAUCGUAAAACUCUGUUAUUAGGGAAGAACAAAUGUGUAAGUAACUAUGCACGUCUUGACGGUACCUAAUCAGAAAGCCACGGCUAACUACGUG
RNAcentral lists this ribosomal RNA (497 nucleotides) under uncultured bacterium. RNAcentral's name for it is "partial 16S ribosomal RNA". It matches the Rfam family "Bacterial small subunit ribosomal RNA", at positions 28 to 507 of the family's 1533-position model. The record is from RNAcentral.